This 173-nucleotide ribosomal RNA is filed under the name uncultured bacterium. Its description in RNAcentral is "partial 16S ribosomal RNA". It matches the Rfam family "Bacterial small subunit ribosomal RNA", at positions 337 to 524 of the family's 1533-position model. The record is from RNAcentral.
UCCUACGGGAGGCAGCAGUAGGGAAUUUUCCGCAAUGGGCGAAAGCCUGACGGAGCAAUCUCGCGUGAGGGAUGACGGCCUAUGGGUUGUAAACCUCUUUUUUCAGGGAGGAAUAAAUGACGUGUACCUGAAGAAUAAGCAUCGGCUAACUCCGUGCCAGCAGCCGCGGUAAU